GCUCCCUUCAGGGCUCCGGCCAGGUUCUGACAAAGUCUCCGUCGCUCCUCCUCACUCAGAACCUCGCUGUAGAAGGUCCCCGCCUGCCACACCCAAGCACACAGCACUUAGGUACCUCACGCACACACAGGUAUCGCACAACCACACACACGAUGAAUAUCACACACACACAGGGUGUAUCA
Gadus morhua (Atlantic cod) is the source of this 182-nucleotide long non-coding RNA. RefSeq lists it as uncharacterized. The record is from RefSeq and is a predicted model, not a curated record. The transcript is spliced from 2 exons. Lineage: Eukaryota; Metazoa; Chordata; Actinopteri; Gadiformes; Gadidae.